AGAGAGUUUAAGGGCGGUUUGAAGGUUAGGUUUGGUCUUGUCUAUUUAUGCGAAAUUUUGGGUUAAAUAAUUGUUGGGGGCAGUUAUCAGGAUUGUAUAUCCAUUCAUUUGGGAUGCAGGAAUGGCCUAUAGUACUGACACAAUUUGUGCCAGCAGUCGCGGUUAUACAAAUAGUACAAUUUAAUUUGGUCAGUUGGGAGUUAGUCGAACAUAGAUUUGCUUAUAAGAUUAAUAUUUGAAGGUGAAAUUUUAAUUUUAUUAUGAGGGCAAGGUUAAUUAGGCGAAGCUCGGAAAUUUUUUCUUUAGACUAGGAUUAGAUACCCUGCUAUUAAAAACGUUAAUUUUUAAAACUUGAUUAGUAUGAGUUAAGGUCUUGAAAAUCAAACAUUUUGGCGGUAUAUUAAUCUCUUCAGAGGAACCUGCCCUGUAAUCGAUAGUCCACGAUUUGUUUGACUUUAUUAUGUGUUUGUAUAUCGUCGUUGUUGGAAUAUUUUUUGAAAAUUUAAAUGUUCACAGGUUUUUACGAAAAAGGAAAUCAGAUCAAGGUGCAGCAUUGUAAAGGAGAGGUGGGUUACAUUAUGUUUAUAAUAGGAGUCGAAAGUUUAAGAUUUCGGUGAAUUUGGAUUUGAUAGUAAUUUUAUUAAAAAGUUAUUUUGAACGGAGCUCUAAAAUAUGCACAUAUCGCCCGUCGCUUUCAUUUUUAAUGAAAUAAGUCGUAACAAAGCAGGUUUACUGGAAAGUGGUCCUGGAAUGUC
RNAcentral lists this non-coding RNA (755 nucleotides) under Lachnaia cylindrica. Lineage: Eukaryota; Metazoa; Arthropoda; Insecta; Coleoptera; Chrysomelidae. The record is from RNAcentral.